UACCAGCACCCCGAGUGGUCGGGACGAUUAUUGGGCCUAAAGCAUCCGUAGCCGGUCAUGCAAGUCUUCCGUUAAAUCCAGCCGCUCAACGGUUGGGCUGCGGAGGAUACUACGUGGCUAGGAGGCGGGAGAGGCAAGCGGUACUCAGUGGGUAGGGGUAAAAUCCUUUGAUCCAUUGAAGACCACCAGUGGCGAAGGCGGCUUGCCAGAACGCGCUCGACGGUGAGGGAUGAAAGCUGGGGGACCAAACCGG
RNAcentral lists this ribosomal RNA (253 nucleotides) under uncultured bacterium. RNAcentral's name for it is "partial 16S ribosomal RNA". It matches the Rfam family "Archaeal small subunit ribosomal RNA", at positions 474 to 727 of the family's 1478-position model. The record is from RNAcentral.